AGAGACAGCAGUACGCGGUAAUGCGUAGGUGGCAAGCGUUGUCCGGAAUUAUUGGGCGUAAAGGGCUCGCAGGCGGUUUCUUAAGUCUGAUGUGAAAGCCCCCCGGCUCAACCGGGGAGGGUCAUUGGGAACUGGGAAACUUGAGUGCAGAAGAGGAGAGUGGAAUUCCACGUGUAGCGGUGAAAUGCGUAGAGAUGUGGAGGAACACCAGUGGCGAAGGCGACUCUCUGGUCUGUAACUGACGCUGAGGAGCGAAAGCGUGGGGAGCGAACAGGAUUAGAUACCCCCGUAGUCCCUGUCUCUUAUACA
This 309-nucleotide ribosomal RNA is filed under the name uncultured bacterium. RNAcentral's name for it is "partial 16S ribosomal RNA". It matches the Rfam family "Bacterial small subunit ribosomal RNA", at positions 504 to 808 of the family's 1533-position model. The record is from RNAcentral.